CUUGUCAUCCAGCUGUUAUGGUUAAUAAUGGAUAGUUUUCUCUGGGUGAGGCUUAUCCAUUGCACACCUGAUGUGCUGACCCCUGCGAUUUCCCCAAAUGUAGGAAAGUUGCCCGCAUAAUUUGUGGUAAUGGGGGACUGUGUGUUCCUGCUUUUCCCUG
Small nuclear RNA from Rhinopithecus bieti (black snub-nosed monkey), 160 nucleotides. Its record names the gene U1. It matches the Rfam family "U1 spliceosomal RNA". From Rfam's summary of the family: U1 is a small nuclear RNA (snRNA) component of the spliceosome (involved in pre-mRNA splicing). Its 5' end forms complementary base pairs with the 5' splice junction, thus defining the 5' donor site of an intron. There are significant differences in sequence and secondary structure between metazoan and yeast U1 snRNAs, the latter being much longer (568 nucleotides as compared to 164 nucleotides in human). NCBI's taxonomy places the organism in Eukaryota, Metazoa, Chordata, Mammalia, Primates, Cercopithecidae. The record is from Ensembl.